AUCCCUGUUGCGUAAUGGAUAGCGUGUUGGACUUCUAAUCCAAAGGUUGUGGGUUCAAAUCCCACCUCGGAUG
RNAcentral lists this transfer RNA (73 nucleotides) under Trichonephila inaurata madagascariensis. It matches the Rfam family "tRNA". Rfam says of the family: Transfer RNA (tRNA) molecules are approximately 80 nucleotides in length. Their secondary structure includes four short double-helical elements and three loops (D, anti-codon, and T loops). The record is from Rfam by way of RNAcentral. Lineage: Eukaryota; Metazoa; Arthropoda; Arachnida; Araneae; Nephilidae.